Spea bombifrons (plains spadefoot toad) is the source of this 764-nucleotide long non-coding RNA. RefSeq lists it as uncharacterized. The record is from RefSeq and is a predicted model, not a curated record. The transcript is spliced from 2 exons. NCBI's taxonomy places the organism in Eukaryota, Metazoa, Chordata, Amphibia, Anura, Pelobatidae.
CUGCACAACCUGCAACGUAUAACCUCGCUGCCGGGAUAAAGGCGACCUUACAUGCAUUUAUAUAGCGCCGGCAGAUUCCAUGGCGUCGCGGCGAGGAUCGUUUAAAAUGAAUUGCAUUGGUGCGGGUAUUGAUACUUAAUGCAGCUCUGAAUCAUCGUCAAUCUUACGGACGAACCUCCCGCAACCUGUUCGCAUGCAGCUGGCAGCGACUCGAGUCGCCCCUCGGACGGAGGGUCUUGGGUCAGAAUCUCAAGAAAAACAACAUUUUACCAAAACGACAGAAAACCAAGAAAACAAAUAUCCAGGAAGCAUGAAAACCCGGAACACUGAGAGCCGAGACCUUUCCCCUCGCACUCCGAGAGAGGCCGGCGGGGCGAAGUAAUGAUUAACCGCAGUCUCUGCGGAAUCACACGGCCCCGGCGCUCACGUGGCGAGACAUGCUGCACGGCGCGUCUCUCCCCGCUGCGCAGGGGACCUGGCUGGACUAACUCUUACGUUUGCAUAAUAAUCCUUCCUUAAAUCUCCUUUGUCAUCUAAUAAGAAGCUCACGACAGCACCGACAUACUGGGGGAUGCUUUAAAAGAGUCCCGAGGUCACCUGUGUUCAAGCAGGGACUUAAGCUGCGAGAAAAGCAUCAAUCAGGAUGAUUUAAUGACAUUUCGGACAAUUUCUCUCUUGAUAACGUGCGAGUUGUAUCCCGACUAACAAAAGAAGAGUGUUGGAAAUAUAGCAAUAAAUUAAUAUUUCAAUUAAAAGACAAAAAA